Pseudopipra pipra is the source of this 781-nucleotide long non-coding RNA. RefSeq lists it as uncharacterized. The record is from RefSeq and is a predicted model, not a curated record. The transcript has 2 exons. Lineage: Eukaryota; Metazoa; Chordata; Aves; Passeriformes; Pipridae.
UCCUCUCUCCUUAGGGCCACAGGUCCUGCCAGGAGCCUACUCCAGCAUGGACUUCCCACGGGGUCACAGCCUCCUUCAGGACCGCGCCAGCAUGGUGUCCUCCAUGGGCUACAGAUUUGGAAACAGAAUAGGCAAAGAGAUAGGAAAAGGAGCAAGGGCACUAAUAUGAGGCCCUACUCAGUUAAGACUACAUUCAAUAGAGAACAUCUAUAUGAUUUUAUAGCAAUUCCAAAACCAUAAACCAAGCAUCUACAAGUUCCUACUCCAAAGGACACCUCUCACUUAAACCUGGAAGUUUUCUAAAAAUUCUAUUUCUAUGGAAGCAGAAAAUGAAACAGCUUGGCAACUGUGUCACAUGCCUAUUCUAACUGAAGACCCCAAAUCCCCAGGUGCUACUCUGGCCCCCAAGGAGCCAAUACCUGUGCUCAGAACACACCCAGCCUACAGAAGGAGGCCAGAGUACUUCACAAAACAAAGAGGUGAACAUUUUCUUUUAAAACACAGCCAGAGAGGAAGAAAUUGUUGUGUUUAUUUUCAUACAGUAUCCUGAUGGUUAGAGCACUCACUGGGAAAAAACAGGAGACACCUGAGUUAAAGGUUUCUUCAGCAAGAUGUUCUUCUCCUGCCUCCUCUCUGUCUCCUGCCUCAAAAACAUGUUUAAAUACGAGGCUGGAGGGUAGAUGUAGCAGGGGGAGGGGAACAGAAGACAUGAAUGUAUGUUCACCCCUGAGCAGUUAGGGCUUCAAGCAGAAUAACAAAAAUACAGAUUGCACUCCUUGGA